Long non-coding RNA from Numida meleagris (helmeted guineafowl), 3385 nucleotides. RefSeq lists it as uncharacterized. Lineage: Eukaryota; Metazoa; Chordata; Aves; Galliformes; Numididae. The transcript is spliced from 3 exons. The record is from RefSeq and is a predicted model, not a curated record.
UGUGGGAUGUGUCUUCUGAAAUUGUUUUUUCUUCUUAGAAAAAUUAAAAUGUUUGCUAUUUUCUUUCCUUAAAAGUAGUGAGUUGAUGUUAAAAUAGCAACAGAUAUAAUAUUUCUAAUUUUAAAAUGUGAAGUUAAUUUUAAAACACUGUUAAAAUAUUUGUUUAUGGCCCUGGCCUUGAAGCCUGGAUUGCACCAGGCUAGAGCAGAACAAAACAGCUGUUGCUUUUACCAAUGAACUUGUGUUAGUGCUUCUGAUGCAUUUGGUAGUUGAUUAAUUUAACAUAAAAUUCUUUUUCUUUUGAGUGAAUCCAUCUGUGAAAUGGACUGAAAAUCAUUGCUAUUCUAGAAAUGAGUAAUAGGUAAAAACCUUGGGGGUUUUUUGAGAUGAUGAUGGAGAAAACAUUAUCAGUGCUGCAAGCAAGGCAAAAGCUGAGCUUUUUGCUCUUUGAUGUUGAAUAUCAUAUGGAUAUUUCUGUGCACUGUACAGUCUCUUUCAAGAUUUGUUUCUGUUAACAAUGUCCUCAAUAAAAGAGUUGUGUUUUAGUAUUCCUAGGAUUCCACAGGGCUAAGCAGCCAUGCUGCAAGUAUUUCUAAUAGAAAGCCACUCCCUCAAUCUGAUUAAAUGUUGGUGAGGAUAAUAUAGCUUACUCUGUUGAUUUUUGAUAAAACAGUGAAAGACAAAGGGAUGUGUGCUAUGCCCAAGAUUAUAAAUGCUUCUUACUUACAUAUUCUUUCUUAUUAUUGAGGAACACUUAUUCUGGAGGAACAAGCAUUGUUCUCACCACAGCUAACAUGCAAGUUGGACACUUAAAUGUGUUUUGAUGUUUUAUUUUAAGUGGACAAAAAUAUUGCAAUGGCUACUGUAUUGUAAUCAGCCUAACAAAUGAAUCAAAAAUCCCCAAUGGGAUGAGAUUUCAUUUAUUGUUAGUUUGCUUUCAUUCUGUUAGCUUUUUCAGAUUCCAGUAAUUACAAUGUUAUAUUGUGCUGUCUUUGUAUGAUGAAGAAUUCUCUUCUCCAUGUGUACAUGGAGCUCCAUGGGCUACACUAGAAGCCCGUUUUUUAUCUUAAAAAAUGUUCUUAGCAAAUACAUUUAAUACAAUAUUGCAUUGAUGCAAAAUGGUUUUCUAUUUGUCUUGUGAAAUUUCAGCUUAAAGAUUAAAUUCUACUCUUUGGAAGACAUAACUACUGAAGCAGAAUAUUGGACAGUUCUCUCUGUAUUCUAGGUGCGGUACAGUAUUUCUGAAGUCACUUGAAUUCAUGUUUGCAGCUUUCCUUAUGAAUAGGUUGCGUACAUCUGCUUCUGGCAAGUAUUAAUUGGGAAAAUUGCUGCUUGCAUUAUUCUUUCUCUAAAGAUGAAAUGUAUGUUUGGGAGGAUUUUUAACCUUUAUUUUGAAUUACGUUGUCUUUUUUUUUUUUUUUAGCAGAAAACAUCUCAUGUUAGGUGUGGAAUUUAAAACAGGUUUCCUUAUGUUCUUUAUCAAAGCAACAUCCUGAAGUAAUCACAGAAAACAAAAUCAUUUUAUGUAAAAGUUUAUGCUAUUGCUGCAAUAAGUUGUUUAUGAAAAAGAAGCCAUUAUUUGAAAUUUAGCAAUCACUUCUAAGGCACAUCUGGCCUACUUGUUUCCUGACGAUAUGAGGGAGUGCUAAAGUAAGGAAGAAAUCCAGAAUAGCAAUUUGUGGAUCUUUGACCUAAUUUAUACAUCUGCUUAUUAUGUAGAUACUUAGAAUUUUUUCAUAAUCUGGCACUUCUGCUUGCUUUUCUUCAUGUAUCAGAAAAUAAAGGGGUUAGGAGAAAACAUCCACGGAUAGACAGGUGUUAAUUCAGAAGGAAUCAGCUGCAUCUCUUCCUAAGCACCUCUGGCAGGGAGAAAUUGCUUUGCCUUCUAUUUGUAGACAAGAGAGGCCUCGUGUGGUCAGUUCUGCCAACAGCUUCGUGCAAAGCUGCGGGGAGGAGAGAAGCCUGCCUCGGGCACUCCUGGCCGCGGGGUGAGUGCCUGCUGUCUGCCAGCAGCCUCUGGCAGAACCCCCGCUCCGACACCGCCUUCACCAGCACUGCUGGGCCUUCUGGUUCCUCAGCUGAAGGCUUGGUUAUGCAAACCGGAACUGUAAGUGUGGAUAGGGAGGCGGUAUUUUGAAGCAAUACUGAUGAGUAGAUUUGAGGAAAAAUAAAUACCUGCAUAUGAUUGCAGGUGGUCUGUUAUUGGACAGGUCAGAAGUGGGAAAUACCACUUUCCCUGUUCCUUUCUUCCUUAAUGUGUUAGAAUACAGGUAUAUCCGUGAAGUGAAGGUUUUAGUGUUUUUAGAUUCUUUCUCAAAUAUGCCCAAACAAUAAAAACACUUUUUUCCUUCAGUGAAUUCCCCAACAAGAAGUGAUAUUGACAUGUUCUGAUUCUAAGAGAGACCUUGUGUCAUCAGAAGUACAGUAGAUACUCAGUACAGAUCCCCAUGUUGGUGUAGGUUGUGAAAUACACACAGUGUACAGCUUUAAAAUGUUAGGCUGUGAGAACCCAGUGAGAAACACUGUAUGAAUAAAAUGAGAACAUCACUAUUACUUGCUAUUACAUAGUUCCUUAUGAAUUCAUUUUGUUUUAAAUACUAUCUAUUUGGAAAUGCAAAGCAUUGUUCUGUCCUUGUAGGUGUUCAAGACCAGGUUGGAUGGGGCCCUGGGGAGCCUGGGAAAGGUUGGUGGCCCUGCCUGCAGCAGGGGGGUUGGAGCUUGAUGAUCCUUGAGGUCCCUUCCAACCCAAGCCAUUCUAUGAUUCUAUGAUUUAAAUACAUGUAAUAUGUUUAAUUAAAUAGAUUCAGUUCUUACUAAACCAAGCUUUUUUAUGGUGGGGGAAUUUUGCUACAUAUGUGGACAUGUCAUCUAUUAUAGUCAUAUUACUUAUGAAGUCCUUUCAGAAAAUUAGAGGCUCACAUUUGUCUCUAAUGUUACUUAAUAAAACAAUUUUUAAAAUGCCAUAAUUUGUACUUGAUUGCAGGCUGCUUGCAUGCAGUUGAUGUGGUAUCCUUAAUAAAUUAAUCAUAGGCCUCACUUUCUUCAAAUGUAGGCCUCUAAACGUUUGUAUGCUCAUCCCUUUUGAUUUAUAAGACUUGUUGCCUCUUUCAGUGGAUUUAAAUUCAUUUCCUGGCUUAACAUUAGUCAAACCUUCCCAUGAAACCAAAGGUACUCAGCAUUGGGUUGUAGCUCUGAACACACUGCUCAGGCAGGUCAUCACCUGGCGUAAAGGAAUGGUUGGUGUGAAGGGCCCUCAGGCUCCGGCUGUACUCAGUGUCGGGGUGUAGCUCUCCUCGCACUGCUCGUUCAGGUCAUCACAUGGUGUACAGAAAUGGCUCGUGUCGGGGCCCAUAGGCUCCCAGAAGCCGGAGCGCAGCAAGCAUGG